GGUUCGAUUCUGGCUCAGGAUGAACGCUGGCGGCGUGCUUAACACAUGCAAGUCGAACGGAAAGGCCCUGCUUUUGUGGGGUGCUCGAGUGGCGAACGGGUGAGUAACACGUGAGUAACCUGCCCUUAACUCUGGGAUAAGCCUGGGAAACUGGGUCUAAUACCGGAUACGACCAAUCUCCGCAUGGGGUGUUGGUGGAAAGCGUUAUGGAGUGGUUUUAGAUGGGCUCACGGCCUAUCAGCUUGUUGGUGAGGUAACGGCUCACCAAGGCUUCGACGGGUAGCCGGCCUGAGAGGGCGACCGGCCACA
This 309-nucleotide ribosomal RNA is filed under the name Chaetoceros curvisetus. RNAcentral describes it as "partial Bacterial small subunit ribosomal RNA". It matches the Rfam family "Bacterial small subunit ribosomal RNA", at positions 10 to 312 of the family's 1533-position model. Lineage: Eukaryota; Bacillariophyta; Thalassiosirophyceae; Chaetocerotales; Chaetocerotaceae. The record is from RNAcentral.